GUUUGGCAGCCAAACACAAAGUUGCAAAUGUAACAAGUACAUGCAAAUAUGUUCCGAUGACCACAACUGUCGCUGUAGAAACAUCGGUCUACAUUGCACCAAAGUACCGUCAGUUUUUAACGCCAGUGAAAAGAAAGUCAAAAGAUGUCUUCAAGUAAAUACGGACAUUUUUCCUGGGCGGCGUCCGCCUGUGAAAAGCACAGCCAAGAUGCCUGUUUGGCCUAAAUUAAUUAAAACUCGUUGCAAACUCUGAUAAUUGCACACUCUGUAUGUGGUUGCACAUCACUAAAUCCAGUUGAACACUGCGGUUGCUUCUGUGUAUUUAAUUAAAG
Paramuricea clavata is the source of this 332-nucleotide non-coding RNA. Lineage: Eukaryota; Metazoa; Cnidaria; Anthozoa; Malacalcyonacea; Plexauridae. The record is from the annotation of a GenBank genome assembly.